This 422-nucleotide ribosomal RNA is filed under the name uncultured prokaryote. Its description in RNAcentral is "bacterial SSU rRNA". It matches the Rfam family "Bacterial small subunit ribosomal RNA", at positions 338 to 774 of the family's 1533-position model. The record is from RNAcentral.
CCUACGGUAGGCAGCAGUGAGGAAUAUUGCGCAAUGGACGAAAGUCUGACGCAGCGACGCCGCGUGACUGAUGAAGUCUUUCGGGAUGUAAAGGUCUUUUGCAGGGGACGAAGGAAGUGACGGUACCCUGCGAAUAAGCUCCGGCUAACUACGUGCCAGCAGCCGCGGUAAUACGUAGGGAGCGAGCGUUGUCCGAAUUUACUGGGCGUAAAGCGCGCGUAGGCGGGUUAUUAAGUUGGGGGUGAAAUGCCGAGGCUUAACCUCGGAACUGCCUCCAAAACUGGUAGCCUUGAGGUAUGGAGAGGGAAGUGGAAUUCCAGGUGUAGCGGUGAAAAGCGUAGAUAUCUGGAGGAACACCCGUGGCGAAGGCGGCUUCCUGGCCAUAUCCUGACGCUGAGGUGCGAAAGCUAGGGGAGCGAACG